This 1005-nucleotide long non-coding RNA is filed under the name Salvator merianae (Argentine black and white tegu). RNAcentral's name for it is "lncRNA (ENSSMRG00000008766.1)". Lineage: Eukaryota; Metazoa; Chordata; Lepidosauria; Squamata; Teiidae. The record is from RNAcentral.
CGGGAUUAAAACUUCGGCGUGGAGGCACAGGAUGGUCCAGGCGCGCUCCGUCCGUCCGUCCGUCCGUCCAGCCGCGGCUCGCUUUCCUACGGCUAAUGGCUCUCCGUCCGGACGCCAGAGCUUCGGCCGCCCCGCCCGCCCGCCCGCGCGCGCCCUGCCCCUCCCCUCCCCGACGGCCUCUUCUGGCCCUCUCGCCUUGCCUCUCGCCCGGAGAGCCGCCUGGGCGCAACGGAGGGGGGCCGCCGGGCAAAGCCGCGGGCGAGGCAUCUUCUGCCGCCGCUGGCCAAACCAGACCCGCAGAGAGGGGCACUGGGGGAGCGAGGCUGCCCCUCUCUGCGGGGCCGGGCCGGGCCGGGCCGCUCCCACCUUCCCUCGCGCCUCCGAAGGCCUCUUGGCAGGCGGGCGCCCCUUGGCAAGCGCCGCACCGGCACCGCCGGAGCGAGGGAGGGAGGGAGGCCCUUGGAGACCCUUUGCCGGUGACGUCGCGUCCCGAGCCCUCCCCCUCCCUCCUCNCCUCCCCUCCUCGCACGGCGCGAUCCGGCGGCGGCGGCGGCAGGAUAAAACCCUCCGGGCGCGCGGGCUCUGGGGCAUUGCUGGCGUCGAGGAUGGCGAGGCGGUGGGCUCCUUCUCUCCGGGCCGACGGCGGGGGCGUCGGCGCCCUCCUGCUCCUGCUUCUGCUCUUGAGCAGCCUCCCGGCGUCGUGGCAAGGAGGGAUUGGAGUCCCCGGGGGAAUNGGAGCAGGACUUGGAGGGACAGGAAUUGGUGUAGGAGCAAAACCUCCCAAACCAGGUGGUCUUGGGGUUGGAACUGGAGCACUAGGUGGCCUCUACCCAGGCGGGGUCUACCCAGGUGCUGGUGCUGUCGGAGCCGCCGCUGCUUACAAAGCCGCAGCCAAAGCUGGUGAGACAAAGCUAGCAAGGCCCCGCUGACCGUGGAGGUCCAUCCUCUCGCGGUUCUCCUCGCUUCAGCUUUUUCCAGCCCUCGCCUGCUUUCCCCAGAACGUGG